UUUCUGCUGUUAAAUGUUCCAGUCAAUAAACACCACUCAUUUCUAUGGCAGUUUAACUUUUCGGUUCCUUUUCACUCUCUGUCAUUUUAAUGUGGUCUUUUUUUAUUGAAUUGAAUUGAAUUGAAUUGAAUUGAAUUGAAUUUUUUUUAAACAUGUUUUUUAUUAGCAGUUUAUUUUCACAUUUUGUUCUCACAACUGUGUGCUCCAAUCUAUAUAAUCAGCCUAAACUCUUCCCACAAAGCAAUAAACCAUGCAUAAUGCCCCCUGGCUGCCAGAGGCAAAUAAAUAAUUAAAUAAAUAAAUACAAAACAUAUAUAUCAUCAGUAUACUUAAAGCUGAAGUGUGUAGAGCCACUAGUGUCAUCAAACGGAAUGGUAACACUUUACAAUAAGUUCAUUAGUUAACUACUUUAGUUAACAAGAACUAAUAAUGAACAAUACUUCUACAGCAUUUAUUAAUCUUAGCUAAUGUUAAUUUCAACAUUUACCAAUGCAUUAUUAAAAUCAAAACCUGUACUUGUUAACAUUAGUUAAUGCACUGUGAAUUAACAUGAACGACUCUAUUUUCAUUAACUAACAUUAACAAAGUAUACAUACUGUAAUAAAUGUAUUGUUCAUUGUUUGUUCAUGUUAGUUAAUACAUCAACUAACACUGACUAAAGUAAAUGUCCCGAGCACACCCUCUGUCUUCCAUUGGUUGGACAAACUCAUGCUCCACCCCAAACUCACUCCAUUGGUUGAGCCACUGUUGCUGUAUCAUGUGAAACCUGAAUCUGUUCUUAAGCAUGUGUCCAUAUCCACACAAAUACACACCUCUGUCUUUAAUCCAAUCAUUUUUACUAUCAUAGUGAAACUGACUUCAAGAGAGAUGGAUGUAUAAAGGCUGUCCUCCUACACACAGGGAUCCGUAUGAACGUACGCACACAUGCACAGAGAGACCUGUUUAACAACAGGCCUCAUUAUCCCACUGUGACAGCCAUUUCAAAUGCUGCGCUCCCAUGCAGAAAACCAGCAGUCUGUUAGAGGCUGUGUAUUCUUGCAGUGGGUAGUUUUCUGAGCAUGCUUAUACACACACGCUAACAUACACAAACACACAAGUACACACUUAACAGCAGCUGUUUUCUGUUCAGGUUUUGGCAACCCGGGAAACAUUCCUUUGUGGGCUAUGUUGGCACACCAUCGCACACAAGUAAACAAGAGUGGGCAGGGAUGCACAUGUGUGCACACACAAACACAUAUGUAUCACCAAUAAUAUUCCAUCUCCCUCACGUAUGGUCAAUACAUAUUAUGCCCUUGUAAUUGUCAUUGUGAGGUUUGAACCAUACACACACACACACACACACACACACACAUACACAAUUAAACAGGGAUUACAAGCUAAAGCUCCUGGAUACAACACACAUUAAAUAGGGUGACCAAACGUGCCAUUUUCCCAGGACACGUCCUGGCCA
Long non-coding RNA from Cyprinus carpio carpio, 1450 nucleotides. The record is from Ensembl. Lineage: Eukaryota; Metazoa; Chordata; Actinopteri; Cypriniformes; Cyprinidae.